UACUUCCCUUCACUGCCGCACAAACCCUAUUCACCAUUUUGGUUCAUCCCAUAUGCGUCCUAUGUUGGUUUGAGAGGUUGAAGCUGCCAGCAUGAUCUGGUGAAACAAACACCAUCUCUUUCUUCUCUAACCCCAUGUCUGGAUUCGUCCACCGAUCCAUUAUUAUAGACCAGGCCGCCCGUU
Molecule: non-coding RNA, 183 nt
Filed under: Vitis vinifera (wine grape)
Lineage: Eukaryota; Viridiplantae; Streptophyta; Magnoliopsida; Vitales; Vitaceae
Source: RNAcentral